This 445-nucleotide small RNA is filed under the name Pan troglodytes (chimpanzee). Its description in RNAcentral is "processed transcript". Lineage: Eukaryota; Metazoa; Chordata; Mammalia; Primates; Hominidae. The record is from RNAcentral.
AAAGAGCAACUGAAAGCUGUUAUGGAUGAUUUCGCAGCUUUUGUAGAGAAGUGCUGCAAGGCUGACGAUAAGGAGACCUGCUUUGCCGAGGAGGGUAAAAAACUUGUUGCUGCAAGUCAAGCUGCCUUAGGCUUAUAACAUCACAUUUAAAAGCAUCUCAGAAUAUGAUGGAUCUACCUUCUGUGAACUUUAUAGUGAACAAUCUGCUAUUACAUUUCCAAUUCGUCAACAUGCUGAGCUUUAAUAGGACUUAUCUUCUUAUGACAACAUUUAUUGGUGUGUCCCCUUGCCUAGCCCAACAGAAGAAUUCAGCAGCCCCUACCAUGAGAAUAAGAGAAAGAAAAUGAAGAUCCAAAGCUUAUUCAUCUGUUUUUCUUUUUCGUUGGUGUAAAGCCAACACCCUGUCUAAAAAACAUAAAUUUCUUUAAUCAUUUUGCCUCUUUUC